RNAcentral lists this ribosomal RNA (301 nucleotides) under uncultured bacterium. RNAcentral's name for it is "partial 16S ribosomal RNA". It matches the Rfam family "Bacterial small subunit ribosomal RNA", at positions 509 to 808 of the family's 1533-position model. The record is from RNAcentral.
CAGUAGCCACGGUAAUAUGUAGGUCCCGAGCGUUGUCCGGAUUUAUUGGGCGUAAAGCGAGCGCAGGCGGUUAGAUAAGUCUGAAGUUAAAGGCUGUGGCUUAACCAUAGUACGCUUUGGAAACUGUUUAACUUGAGUGCAAGAGGGGAGAGUGGAAUUCCAUGUGUAGCGGUGAAAUGCGUAGAUAUAUGGAGGAACACCGGUGGCGAAAGCGGCUCUCUGGCUUGUAACUGACGCUGAGGCUCGAAAGCGUGGGGAGCAAACAGGAUUAGAUACCCGUGUAGUCCCUGUCUCUUAUACA